RNAcentral lists this ribosomal RNA (319 nucleotides) under uncultured eukaryote. Its description in RNAcentral is "partial 18S ribosomal RNA". It matches the Rfam family "Eukaryotic small subunit ribosomal RNA", at positions 1470 to 1796 of the family's 1831-position model. The record is from RNAcentral.
CCCUUAGAUGUUCUGGGCUGCACGCGUGCUACAAUGAAGCGUCCAACAAGAUGCGAAGCCGAAAGGCUCAGCGGAUCUUUGAAGUCGUUUCGUGACCGGGACAGUUGAUUGCAAUUAUUCGACUCGAACGAGGAAUUCCUUGUAAUCGCGAUUCAUCAUAUCGCGCUGAAUACGUCCCUGCCCUUUGUACACACCGCCCGUCGCUCCUACCGAUUGAGCGAUCCGGUGAAUUAUCUGGUGUGUCCACGCAAGCCAAUCCGUUUACGUGGGUGCGAAAUUUUGUAAACCUUAUCGCUUAGAGGAAGGAAAAGUCGUNACA